GAUGAACGCUGGCGGCGUGCCUAAUACAUGCAAGUCGAGCGAACGGACGAGAAGCUUGCUUCUCUGAUGUUAGCGGCGGACGGGUGAGUAACACGUGGAUAACCUACCUAUAAGACUGGGAUAACUUCGGGAAACCGGAGCUAAUACCGGAUAAUAUUUUGAACCGCAUGGUUCAAAAGUGAAAGACGGUCUUGCUGUCACUUAUAAAUGGAUCCGCGCUGCAUUAGCUAGUUGGUAAGGUAACGGCUUACCAAGGCAACGAUGCAUAGCCGACCUGAGAGGGUGAUCGGCCACACUGGAACUGAGACACGGUCCAGACUCCUACGGGAGGCAGCAGUAGGGAAUCUUCCGCAAAGGGCGAAAGCCUGACGGAGCAACGCCGCGUGAGUGAUGAUGGUCUUCGGAUCGUAAAACUCUGUUAUUAGGGAAGAACAUAUGUGUAAGUAACUGUGCACAUCUUGACGGUACCUAAACAGAAAGCCACGGCUAACUACGUG
RNAcentral lists this ribosomal RNA (497 nucleotides) under uncultured bacterium. RNAcentral describes it as "partial 16S ribosomal RNA". It matches the Rfam family "Bacterial small subunit ribosomal RNA", at positions 28 to 507 of the family's 1533-position model. The record is from RNAcentral.